UACGGGGGGGGCAAGCGUUGUUCGGAAUUACUGGGCGUAAAGGGCUCGUAGGUGGCCAACUAAGUCGGACGUGAAAUCCCUCGGCUUAACCGGGGAACUGCGUCCGAUACUGGUUGGCUUGAGUUUGGGAGAGGGGUGCGGAAUUCCAGGUGUAGCGGUGAAAUGCGUAGAUAUCUGGAGGAACACCGGUGGCGAAGGCGGCCCCCUGGACCGGUACUGACGCUGAGGCGCGAAAGCGUGGGUAGCAAACGGG
Molecule: ribosomal RNA, 253 nt
Filed under: uncultured bacterium
Lineage: Bacteria
Description: partial 16S ribosomal RNA
Rfam family: Bacterial small subunit ribosomal RNA
Source: RNAcentral